GAAAAGGCUCUAUUUUAUUUCAUUCAUUAAAAAAUGAGAGCCACAGAAUACAGAAUUGGAAAGGAAAU
Molecule: non-coding RNA, 68 nt
Organism: Sarcophilus harrisii (Tasmanian devil)
Lineage: Eukaryota; Metazoa; Chordata; Mammalia; Dasyuromorphia; Dasyuridae
Source: Rfam